RNAcentral lists this ribosomal RNA (917 nucleotides) under uncultured bacterium. Its description in RNAcentral is "bacterial SSU rRNA". It matches the Rfam family "Bacterial small subunit ribosomal RNA", at positions 9 to 916 of the family's 1533-position model. The record is from RNAcentral.
GAGUUUGAUCAUGGCUCAGGAUGAACGCUAGCGGCAGGCUUAACACAUGCAAGUCGAGGGGCAUCGGGAGGGAAGCUUGCUUUCCUUGCCGGCGACCGGCGCACGGGUGAGUAACACGUAUGCAACCUGCCCUCUUCAGGGGGACAACCUUCCGAAAGGGAGGCUAAUCCCGCGUAUAUCGGUUUCGGGCAUCCGAGAUCGAGGAAAGAUUCAUCGGAAGAGGAUGGGCAUGCGGCGCAUUAGCUUGACGGCGGGGUAACGGCCCACCGUGGCGACGAUGCGUAGGGGUUCUGAGAGGAAGGUCCCCCACACUGGUACUGAGACACGGACCAGACUCCUACGGGAGGCAGCAGUGAGGAAUAUUGGUCAAUGGGAGAGAUCCUGAACCAGCCAAGCCGCGUGAGGGAAGACGGCCCUAUGGGUUGUAAACCUCUUUUGUCGGAGAACAAAACCCGGGACGUGUCCCGGACUGCGUGUAUCCGAAGAAAAAGCAUCGGCUAACUCCGUGCCAGCAGCCGCGGUAAUACGGAGGAUGCGAGCGUUAUCCGGAUUUAUUGGGUUUAAAGGGUGCGUAGGCGGUCCGUUAAGUCAGCGGUAAAAUUGCGGGGCUCAACCCCGUCGAGCCGUUGAAACUGGCAGACUUGAGUUGGCGAGAAGUACGCGGAAUGCGCGGUGUAGCGGUGAAAUGCAUAGAUAUCGCGCAGAACUCCGAUUGCGAAGGCAGCGUACCGGCGCCAGACUGACGCUGAGGCACGAAAGCGUGGGGAUCGAACAGGAUUAGAUACCCUGGUAGUCCACGCAGUAAACGAUGAAUGCUGGUUGUCCGGGUCGAAUGAGAUCUGGGCGGCGAAGCGAAAGCGAUAAGCAUUCCACCUGGGGAGUAUGCCGGCAACGGUGAAACUCAAAGGAAUUGACGG